UACGAGAGGCCCAAACGUUAUUCGGAAUUACUGGGCUUAAAGAGUUCGUAGGCGGCGCAGAAAGUAGGGUGUGAAAGCCCUCGUCUCAACCGAGGAAUUGCGCUCUAAACUACUGUGCUUGAGGGACCUAGAGGUGAGCGGAACUGAUGGUGGAGCGGUGAAAUGCGUUGAUAUCAUCAGGAACACCGGAGGCGAAGGCGGCUCACUGGGGGUCUUCUGACGCUGAGGAACGAAAGCCAGGGGAGCGAACGGG
This 253-nucleotide ribosomal RNA is filed under the name uncultured bacterium. RNAcentral describes it as "partial 16S ribosomal RNA". It matches the Rfam family "Bacterial small subunit ribosomal RNA", at positions 524 to 776 of the family's 1533-position model. The record is from RNAcentral.